CGCUUCUUCUAUUGGCUGUUUUUCCUUUUAGCCCCGCCCCUCUUACCUGAUUGGGGCACCUUUGGCUUGUGCAGGUCUCAGCAGUACAGUGAUGGUGGUGGCAGUUUCAUUCAGAGAGGCAUCAACGCCUUCAUAGUCAGAUGUCCGAAUGAAGUGCCCUUGACCUCAGGAGACGAGAGGAAAGGCUUGCUAAGCUACACGAGAACACAAUAUAGAACUGAAUGUCUGGAAUGUGUUAUGGCCAAGCCAGGACCACGAGCCUUCCAGAUUCUGCAUUCCUCACUGGCUUACCUGAGAUAUUUGUGGUCACGUUGAUGGCUGUGGCUGGCCCGAAGCCUUUGACGGUGCUGGCUCUUAUGAAGAACUGGGAACAUGGCAAGUUCUAGCAACACUUAGCAGCACAGGGAAGAAAAUCAAGAUAGCAAAGUAUAUGAAAGGAGAAAACCAAGGGAAAUUGCACUGUUAACAAGCGAGUGGAUAAAAAUAAAUGACAAUAUAAAACGCAUGUAGCUGAAUCUAAAUGUUAUCAAGUAAGGCGUCCUGGCUUUAAAUGUUAACACCAGGCAAUAAAACAUGUGGCCAUGCUCUUAAUACUGGAAACACGGGUUAUAAAGUGCCCAGUGUGACCGUGAAUUCUCCGUAGCAUGUCGGAAGGUGUGUGAUUCCUCAGGACAACUGUCGCUCUUCUUAGACAUCUGCUCCCAUUAUUGACCUAUGAACCCAUUCCCACCACCUCUUCGUUUCCACACAGUAAGUUUUAAGUGUGUGGGAGGGGAGGGUAGGGGUAGCAGAUGGAGGUGAGGUAUUAUUUAAAUAUUGUAACCACAUAGCUUUCAUACGCGGAACCAUAUUGAGAUAGCCACCUUGAUUGACUCAAACAGGGUAACACCGCAUUCAUCAUAAGUCUCAAGAGUUUUUACUCAAAAAUGUUUGUAACCUGAGAUUCACUUCAGACACUGUGUUGUUGCAGUCUGAGCUAAAUGACGUCCAGGGUUCUUGCUUCUAUAAAGACAAAGUAACAAACCACAGUCACUUCCACUUUCCGGAGCAGAAAACUUGAAAGAACUGUUUCUAAAAAGUGCAGCUCAGAGACCUAUUUUAUGACAGCCACCUCAGUCCUACUUGCUAGGUUACCAAAAGCAAUAUAGUGGCCUACUGACGACAUGAAGGGAGGUGGGGCAGUGGUCUGGCUAUAAAACAGAUCUUUUGUUCUGAAACUCAAAUAAAAACAAUGGCAUCCCAUCAGACUGUUCAAGGAGAAAGUAGGAAGGAACGGGAGCAGAGAAAUCUCCAGAUCUGAUUUCUUCUCUUGAGCACAGGACUAGAGAACUGGGAGAUGUUAUUGGCUAUAGAGGAGUAAAAUGAUACAGUUAGGCUCUAUAUUUUUGUUCAAUAAGGAGCUCUAUUCACAGUCAUGCUAACGAUUUAGCAUAAUAUCAGGGAAAAGACUUAACAUAUUAUAAUAUUAAUAUAAAUAUACAUUCCUAUUACCUAAUUUUCAUGAAUAUAAUUUCUGAGAUUGUAGUAAAAUCUGUAAAAGUGAUGGCCUGUAAUUUUCUUAGGAGGAACUUCAUUUUGACUAAAAAGAUGUCUUGUGCCUUUUGUGUUCUCUCUCUCUCUCUCUCUACACACACACACACACACACACACACAUACACACACACACACACACACACACACAGACUUACAACCAGAUGGAGUACUCUAUCUUCAAAUAUUAGGAAAACAAUAGCAGCUAGUAUGGUUUACAAAACACACACGCAAUGUGUAAGAAAGUAAAUUUGCCAAAAGGUGACUGAUAUAUUGAUGUGGACAAUAACCUUUUUUGUUCUUACCACUUGGUAAGAAGAGCUUGAUUCAGGCUUUACUCAUCACUGUUUGAAAACACAGCAUGGGUGAAUGUCAUUUGAUAUUUGGAUUCUUUUCUAAAGAACACGUCUCUUGUUAGAGCUAAACUGGGAUGAGAAAAUUUGGUGGGUUUCCGGGUUUGGCUCAGUGAUGGAUACUGUAGGGUCAAUGUAGAAAUGAUGUCAUUCUUGGUCCCCUCAACCCUCGCCCUCCCCCCCCCCCGGAGAUAAUAAACAUGAGCGUACCAUCCUCAUCAGUCUGGAUGAUUGUCUCUUCGCUCUCCUUCCUCCCCUCUGGGUUGGUUAGGAUCAUCUUGAGGCUGACAUUUGUGUAAGGUGGCAGAUGGUUUACAACGUGUUGAGGGGCUUUGGGGUCCAUGUCCAAGCAGUCGGCCCUGCUCUCAUUGUGGCCUCGGAAGUAAUGGUAGCAAAUGGUGACGUUGAAAGUGUGGCAGCGCGUGAUGUUGUAGCCCAAGGACUCCCAGUCCACAGCGAUGCGCCUUGCCUGGAUUUCAGCAAUCUUCAAAGUCUUUGGCGUCCGCAUGGGUUCUGCAAAAAUAAAUCAAAGUUGCAGACAGACGUCAACUUGACCGUGAAUGCUUCCGGAAGAGUGUCACACUGAACGUGACACAGCAUACACGGACGCAGUGACUCUCAAGAGAAUCUUCGGCUUUCAGUGUUUUGCCAAGAGAAUGAUUGGGUUUUAGUGUCAAUACCUGAUCAGUUUUAUUUUGGUAAGCUUUGGACACUUCCUACUUUAGUUUUCGGAACUGGGACACAACAGUAAGACAAGAACAACAUUUCCUAGUACUCGGUAACCAAGCAGCAAAUAGAGAAGCGGAGAUGUGGAAACAAUAACUAUGGUCGCGAUUGUGCAGUUCCCUGUCGCUUUCCUUCAUCACUAUUAAGCGAGUAGAUUAGCUCAUACAUCAGAAGGGACAUGAGUCAACGUGCUCUGCUCAGUGAUUUGUCAUGUCACUAAGCUAUGGUGUGUACUAAUUAGUCUAAUUGUAACACUAAACUACCAUUUACCAAAAAUGGCCCGGCUAUUAAUUAACACUAAUUAUUUCAGUAAUGAUGUUGUUCAUCAACACAAAUAAAAGAUGUGGAAAAAUUACCAGGACACAUGUGGAUAGCAGCACCAUCCUCCUGCCUUCUUGAUCUCUUUGUGUCUUAUUUUCUAAGACACGCGGGUCUAACAACCCAUUCGCUGUCACACUAACCAAAUGAGGAGGGGAGAGCUCACUGGGCUGGAAAACGCUGGCCUGACUGAACCCUCAGAAUACUGGAGUCCAUCCAUCACCGACUCCCAGCGGGAUCCGUUCCUCAUGCAAGACUGACUUUAAUUGUCUAACUUAAUCAAAAUAAUUACUCCACGAAAGUCAGGACCAUGGUGAACCAUAUACAGCAUGGAAACCAGAACACAGCAAAAUGUUAAGACAUCGAUUAGAUAAAAGUAAAAAAGCUGAGGCCACGCUCAAGGUCUUACUAGUGCUUUCCUCAACCCACUCAGGGUGGUCGAUACCACUGCUGACAACAAGAACCUGAAGUCAGCAAGGGUAAAAGCAAAACACAUGGAAAAGGGCCCGGUUUGGAUGUUUUUGUUCAUUUUUAUGUUUGGUGUUAAAAAAAAAAAACAAUUAGAAUGUGACACAGAUGCAAGGGCAGAUUGGGAAUCCAGCUCGGUGGCUCUAGUGUGGGACAGAAAGCAAUCCCAAGUGGCAAAUACGUUAAAAUUUCAAAUCUAAAUAUUCCCCGUGUACACAUACAAAACAGACAUUGGUAGAACCUAGUGCACAGGUUUCAAGUGUUAGUGGGUGCUCUUCAGACUUCCGCCUGGCUGCUGUACCAGAUUAGAUCUUGUUUACUGUCCUAAGAGCACACGGAGAGACCGGAAGGAGGGUGGUGGCUCUGUGAUCAUACAUGCCUUCUCGUGUAUUUAUCACCAUGCUAAUGCUUUCCCACCGGGUGAUCCAUCCAGUGUAGUGCCAAUUCCCAUCAGUCUUUGUCUCUGGAAUCCAGCAGCUGACUGAACAAUAACAGCUACAUUAGCUCCAUUCAUCGCUAGGGAAACUAAUUUUCGCUACGGCCAGAGAGCAAGACUUUCCUCAGUGACCAAAGUCAACUUGGACCAUACUUUGUCUAUAAAGUAUUUAUUUGUAUCCAGAAUGAGGAAGUAAAUGAGUGACCCCUGGACAUCAAUGACAGAAACCACCACUGAGAAAGAUCUCCUGUUUAGUGAUGCUACGUGUUUACAUAGAUCCUCUCACUCUGAAUCUUGCGUUCCCUUUUCCUACACAUCCUAACCAUCUCCUCUCCCCAUAUCUGUUUUUCACCUCUGUGCAGCUGACAGGUAAUCCACAAUCUAAUACCAUCUCAGACACCACGCAAGAGGUCAGUGUCUUACGUGCACCCCAAGUUCUCACAUAGCUCAGAGUUGGCGGAGGAUGGAUAAGUUGCUGUCUUGGUUAACUUUUGUCAAACCUAGGCAGAUCUGAGAAGAGGAAGUUGCAACUGAGGAACUGCCCUUAUGGAACUGGCAUGAGGGUGAGGGCAGAAGCCAUUUUCUUGAUGUUUAUUGACAUAGGAGGGUCCAGCCUGCUAGGGCUGUGCGUGCUCUGGGCAGGGGGUCCUGGGUUAUAUAGGAAAGCAGACUGAAGAGUUGUGGGGAGCAAGCAGGUAAAUGUUACACCUCCAUAGACUUGCCUCAGGUCCUGCUUCCAGGAUUCUGCUUGAGAUUUUUCCCCUGGCUUCCUUGAUAACAGAGUCUGAUUAUGAGAAGUAAUACCACCCACCCCCCUUUAAAUCACAGUAACAAAAAAAAAAAAACCCAACUAGGACAAUUACUCACUCCAUAAAAGUUAGCUGGUGCACUUAGAUAAAUAGGUUUGUGUGCAUUCGAAUGUUGCUUGUUUGGUAUUCAUAGUGAAUUACAUAUGAAAUUCAAUAUGAAUUAGGAAAAAGGAUAUAACUAGUCCUAUGUAUGUCACCACCAAAAUUUCCAUGCCAAUAUUUGAUUAAGAAAAGAAUUUUUGACGAAGAGUUUUUCAACAAAGUCAGUAGGUUACUUCCAUUGCUCUUUUGCUUUCACAGACUGAAUAAAUGCAAUUGGUUACCAUGUUCUUGUUAAAGAGAGAUUUAGACAUAAUUUUACAUUUUUCGUUUUUGUCUUGCUAGGUAGUCUUUGCUGACUUGGAACCCAGUCCCUUCUCAUGCUCACUUAGAUACAGUAAACAUGGAGCUUUAAGAGUUAUUGGGCGCAAAUGUUAAUCAAGUACUUGGAAAGCAGAGGCAGGAGGAUUCCAGUCAGAAGGGCAAUCGGAGAUACCCAGCAAGUUCCUGGCCUGUCUGGAUUACACGGAAAGUUCUAGUCUUAAACAAGCAAACACCAAAACAAAAAUAAAAUAAAAUCACCUCUA
Long non-coding RNA from Rattus norvegicus (Norway rat), 5266 nucleotides. RefSeq lists it as uncharacterized. Lineage: Eukaryota; Metazoa; Chordata; Mammalia; Rodentia; Muridae. The record is from RefSeq and is a predicted model, not a curated record.